This 326-nucleotide ribosomal RNA is filed under the name Strongylogaster osmundae. RNAcentral's name for it is "partial 12S ribosomal RNA". Lineage: Eukaryota; Metazoa; Arthropoda; Insecta; Hymenoptera; Tenthredinidae. The record is from RNAcentral.
AAUAAUAGUUAUAGUCUUUAAACUUAAAAAAUUUGGCGGUAUUUAAAUCUAAUUAGGGGAAUUUGUUUAUUAAUAGAUAAUCCUCAAGAAACCUUACUUUAAUUUAUUUAAUUUAUUUAUUGCCGUUAUCAGAAUAUUUUAUUUGAAAAAUUAAUUUUCUAAUAUUUUUAUGAAAAAAUUAUUUCAGGUCAUCAUGUAGUUUAUAUUAAAGUUUAAAUGAAUUACAAUAAAUUAUAUUUAAAUGAAUAUUGAAUUGAAAUAUUUGAUUGAAAGUGGACUUAAUAGUAAAAUUUAAAUAUUAAAUUUAUUUGAAAUUAGAAUUAAAU